Molecule: ribosomal RNA, 253 nt
Filed under: uncultured bacterium
Lineage: Bacteria
Description: partial 16S ribosomal RNA
Rfam family: Bacterial small subunit ribosomal RNA
Source: RNAcentral
UACGAAGGGGGGCUAGCGUUGUUCGGAAUUACUGGGCGUAAAGCGCGCGCAGGCGGUCUUCCAAGUCAGUGGUGAAAGCCCGGAGCUCAACUCCGGAACUGCCAUUGAAACUGUUAGACUUGAGGAUAGAGAGGUGAGUGGAAUUCCCAGUGUAGAGGUGAAAUUCGUAGAUAUUGGGAAGAACACCGGUGGCGAAGGCGGCUCACUGGCUCAUUACUGACGCUCAGGCGCGAUAGCGUGGGGAUCAAACAGG